Molecule: ribosomal RNA, 520 nt
Filed under: uncultured bacterium
Lineage: Bacteria
Description: bacterial SSU rRNA
Rfam family: Bacterial small subunit ribosomal RNA
Source: RNAcentral
AAUAGAUACCCGGGUAGUCCACGCCGUAAACGGUGGGCACUAGAUGUGGGGCUCUUUCCAUGAGUUCCGCGUCGCAGCUAACGCAUUAAGUGCCCCGCCUGGGGAGUACGGCCGCAAGGCUAAAACUCAAAGGAAUUGACGGGGGCCCGCACAAGCGGCGGAGCAUGCAGAUUAAUUCGAUGCAACGCGAAGAACCUUACCAAGGCUUGACAUAUACGGUCUAUCCCUAGAGAUAGGGAGUGCUUCGGCGCCGUAUACAGGUGGUGCAUGGUUGUCGUCAGCUCGUGUCGUGAGAUGUUGGGUCAAGUCCCGCAACGAACGCAACCCUCGUCCUAUGUUGCCAGCGGGUAAUGCCGGGGACUCAUGGGAGACUGCCGGGGUCAACUCGGAGGAAGGUGGGGAUGAGGUCAAAUCAUCAUGCCCCUUAUGUCUUGGGCUUCACGCAUGCUACAAUGGCCGGUACAAAGGGCUGCAAUACCGCAAGGUGGAGCGAAUCCCAAAAGGCCGGUCUCAGUUCGGA